Regulatory RNA element from Astyanax mexicanus (Mexican tetra), 54 nucleotides. It matches the Rfam family "UnaL2 LINE 3' element". From Rfam's summary of the family: The eel long interspersed element (LINE) UnaL2 and its partner short interspersed element (SINE) share a conserved 3' tail containing a stem-loop that is critical for their retrotransposition. Presumably, the first step of retrotransposition is the recognition of their 3' tails by UnaL2-encoded reverse transcriptase. Lineage: Eukaryota; Metazoa; Chordata; Actinopteri; Characiformes; Acestrorhamphidae. The record is from Rfam.
UUGAAACACUGUUGUAAGUCGCUCUGGAUAAGGGCGUCUGCUAAAGACCUUAAA